Molecule: ribosomal RNA, 254 nt
Filed under: uncultured bacterium
Lineage: Bacteria
Description: partial 16S ribosomal RNA
Rfam family: Bacterial small subunit ribosomal RNA
Source: RNAcentral
UACGAAGGGGGGCUAGCGUUGCUCGGAAUUACUGGGCGUAAAGCGCACGUAGGCGGCUUUCUAAGUCGGGGGUGAAAUCCUGGAGCUCAACUCCAGAACUGCCUUCGAUACUGGAAAGCUCGAGUCCGGGAGAGGUGAGUGGAACUGCGAGUGUAGAGGUGAAAUUCGUAGAUAUUCGGAGGAACACCAGUGGCGAAGGCGGCCCGCUGGGCAGUGGCUGACGCUGAAGCGCGACAGCGUGGGGAGCAAACAGG